This 315-nucleotide ribosomal RNA is filed under the name uncultured eukaryote. RNAcentral describes it as "partial 18S ribosomal RNA". It matches the Rfam family "Eukaryotic small subunit ribosomal RNA", at positions 1470 to 1796 of the family's 1831-position model. The record is from RNAcentral.
CCCUUGGACGUUCUGGGCCGCACGCGCGCUACACUGACCAGUGCAACAAGCAUCCGUCCUUGGCCGACAGGCCCGGGCAAUCUUUGAACGCUGGUCGUGAUGGGGAUAGACUUUUGCAAUUUUUGGUCUUCAACGAGGAAUUCCUAGUAAACGCAAGUCAUCAACUUGCAUUGAUUACGUCCCUGCCCUUUGUACACACCGCCCGUCGCACCUACCGAUUGAAUGGUCCGGUGAAGCCUCCGGAUUGGCGCGCACCUCGGUGCCGCCGAGAAGUUGGCUAAACCUUACCAUUUAGAGGAAGGUGAAGUCGUAACA